UGGGGAGGAACACGAGGGACUGGCGACGAACACAGCCCCGGCCACCGCUGAGGUGACGAAGGGAUGCGGAGUGCGGGAGGGACCGCGGACGGGACCGACCGAACAACCGACCGAGGGGCGAGGACGACGGAGAGCAGCAGCGGUGCCGGGCUCGGCGACAGCAGAAUAAAAACCAGUUUUCUACACCUUGUAACUGCACCCAGAAACCUGGUGACAAACCCUUUGUAAAGACAAGGGACAUGUGGCUCCCCGGGAUGGUGCACCCCGAGCAUGUUGGAGUCAGCUAACGAGGAAAGAAGACGUCACUACAUCUGCUCCCCAUUAAAAGCCUCCCUCAUUUAGCAGAGGGCUGAGCUGUAUGAUGUUGCUUUCAGCCUGGGGAAGUAUUUGCUCUGGCUCCAUCAGCCUCUCGGAAUCAGUUCAAAACUGAGAAAUGAGCAAGCAGCAAGAAGCGUCUAAUGAAUCCAAAUUGUACCCACGCCUGAAACCCCUGAAGAAUCCAUAAGGAACCAGGGACCCCCCACCAUCCCACAUUCCCGACCCCCAGGGUUACGGCACAAGCACGGAACCUGGCUCCUGCUCCCACCGCGAG
Long non-coding RNA from Columba livia (rock pigeon), 592 nucleotides. RefSeq lists it as uncharacterized. The record is from RefSeq and is a predicted model, not a curated record. Lineage: Eukaryota; Metazoa; Chordata; Aves; Columbiformes; Columbidae. The transcript has 3 exons.